This 1346-nucleotide ribosomal RNA is filed under the name uncultured bacterium. RNAcentral's name for it is "bacterial SSU rRNA". It matches the Rfam family "Bacterial small subunit ribosomal RNA", at positions 28 to 1381 of the family's 1533-position model. The record is from RNAcentral.
GACGAACGCUGGCGGCGUGCUUAACACAUGCAAGUCGAACGGAAAGGCCCUGCUUUUGUGGGGUGCUCGAGUAGCGAACGGGUGAGUAACACGUGAGUAACCUGCCCUUGACUUUGGGAUAACUUCAGGAAACUGGGGCUAAUACCGGAUAGGAGCUCCUGCUGCAUGGUGGGGGUUGGAAAGUUUCGGCGGUUGGGGAUGGACUCGCGGCUUAUCAGCUUGUUGGUGGGGUAGUGGCUUACCAAGGCUUUGACGGGUAGCCGGCCUGAGAGGGUGACCGGCCACAUUGGGAUUGAGAUACGGCCCAGACUCCUACGGGAGGCAGCAGAGGGGAAUAUUGCACAAUGGGCGGAAGCCUGAUGCAGCAACGCCGCGUGCGGGAUGACGGCCUUCGGGUUGUAAACCGCUUUCGCCUGUGACGAAGCGUGAGUGACGGUAAUGGGUAAAGAAGCACCGGCUAACUACGUGCCAGCAGCCGCGGUGAUACGUAGGGUGCGAGCGUUGUCCGGAUUUAUUGGGCGUAAAGGGCUCGUAGGUGGUUGAUCGCGUCGGAAGUGUAAUCUUGGGGCUUAACCCUGAGCGUGCUUUCGAUACGGGUUGACUUGAGGAAGGUAGGGGAGAAUGGAAUUCCUGGUGGAGCGGUGGAAUGCGCAGAUAUCAGGAGGAACACCAGUGGCGAAGGCGGUUCUCUGGGCCUUUCCUGACGCUGAGGAGCGAAAGCGUGGGGAGCGAACAGGCUUAGAUACCCUGGUAGUCCACGCUGUAAACGGUGGGUACUAGGUGUGGGGUCCAUUCCACGGGUUCCGUGCCGUAGCUAACGCUUUAAGUACCCCGCCUGGGGAGUACGGCCGCAAGGCUAAAACUCAAAGGAAUUGACGGGGCCCCGCACAAGCGGCGGAGCAUGCGGAUUAAUUCGAUGCAACGCGUAGAACCUUACCUGGGUUUGACAUGGAUCGGGAGUGCUCAGAGAUGGGUGUGCCUCUUUUGGGGUCGGUUCACAGGUGGUGCAUGCCUGUCGUCAGCUCGUGUCGUGAGAUGUUGGGUUAAGUCCCGCAACGAGCGCAACCCUUGUUCACUGUUGCCAGCACGUUAUGGUGGGGACUCAGUGGAGACCGCCGGGGUCAACUCGGAGGAAGGUGGGGAUGACGUCAAGUCCUCAUGCCCCUUAUGUCCAGGGCUUCACGCAUGCUACAAUGGCUGGUACAGAGAGUGGCGAGCCUGUGAGGGUGAGCGAAUCUCGGAAAGCCGGUCUCAGUUCGGAUUGGGGUCUGCAACUCGACCUCAUGAAGUCGGAGUCGCUAGUAAUCGCAGAUCAGCAACGCUGCGGUGAAGACGUUCCCGGGGCU